UAGGGAAUUUUCGGCAAUGGGGGAAACCCUGACCGAGCAACGCCGCGUGAGCGAUGAAGUAUUUCGGUAUGUAAAGCUCUAUCAGCAGGGAAGAAAAUGACGGUACCUGACUAAGAAGCACCGGCUAAAUACGUGCCAGCAGCCGCGGUAAUACGUAUGGUGCAAGCGUUAUCCGGAUUUACUGGGUGUAAAGGGAGCGUAGACGGCAUGGCAAGCCAGAUGUGAAAGCCCGGGGCUCAACCCCGGGACUGCAUUUGGAACUGUCAGGCUAGAGUGUCGGAGAGGAAAGCGGAAUUCCUAGUGUAGCGGUGAAAUGCGUAGAUAUUAGGAGGAACACCAGUGGCGAAGGCGGCUUUCUGGACGAUGACUGACGUUGAGGCUCGAAAGCGUGGGGAGCAAACAGG
This 404-nucleotide ribosomal RNA is filed under the name uncultured Lachnospiraceae bacterium. Its description in RNAcentral is "bacterial SSU rRNA". It matches the Rfam family "Bacterial small subunit ribosomal RNA", at positions 355 to 776 of the family's 1533-position model. The record is from RNAcentral. Lineage: Bacteria; Bacillati; Bacillota; Clostridia; Lachnospirales; Lachnospiraceae.